CACCAGCACCCCGAGUGGUCGGGACGUUUAUUGGGCCUAAAGCAUCCGUAGCCGGUUCUACAAGUCUUCCGUUAAAUCCAACUGCUUAACAGGUGGGCUGCGGAAGAUACUAUAGAGCUAGGAGGCGGGAGAGGCAAGCGGUACUCGAUGGGUAGGGGUAAAAUCCGUUGAUCCAUUGAAGACCACCAGUGGCGAAGGCGGCUUGCCAGAACGCGCUCGACGGUGAGGGAUGAAAGCUGGGGGAGCAAACCGG
This 253-nucleotide ribosomal RNA is filed under the name uncultured bacterium. RNAcentral's name for it is "partial 16S ribosomal RNA". It matches the Rfam family "Archaeal small subunit ribosomal RNA", at positions 474 to 727 of the family's 1478-position model. The record is from RNAcentral.